Non-coding RNA from Trichonephila clavata, 73 nucleotides. The record is from the annotation of a GenBank genome assembly. Lineage: Eukaryota; Metazoa; Arthropoda; Arachnida; Araneae; Nephilidae.
GUCCUUGUAGCGCAGUGAAUAGUGCAUUGGACUUCUAAUCCAAAAGUCGUGGGUUCGAAUCGCACCUAGGAUG